UACGUAGGGGGCUAGCGUUGUCCGGAAUCAUUGGGCGUAAAGAGCGUGUAGGCGGCCCGGUAAGUCCGCUGUAAAAGUCAAAGGCUCAACCUUUGAAUGUCAGUGGAUACUGCCGGGCUAGAGUCCGGAAGAGGCGAGUGGAACUCCUGGUGUAGCGGUGGAAUGCGCAGAUAUCAGGAGGAACACCAACGGCGAAGGCAGCUCGCUGGGACGGUACUGACGCUGAGACGCGAAAGCGUGGGGAGCGAACAGG
This 253-nucleotide ribosomal RNA is filed under the name uncultured bacterium. Its description in RNAcentral is "partial 16S ribosomal RNA". It matches the Rfam family "Bacterial small subunit ribosomal RNA", at positions 524 to 776 of the family's 1533-position model. The record is from RNAcentral.